This 954-nucleotide ribosomal RNA is filed under the name Microbacterium oxydans. Its description in RNAcentral is "bacterial SSU rRNA". It matches the Rfam family "Bacterial small subunit ribosomal RNA", at positions 56 to 1017 of the family's 1533-position model. Lineage: Bacteria; Bacillati; Actinomycetota; Actinomycetes; Micrococcales; Microbacteriaceae. The record is from RNAcentral.
UGCAAGUCGAACGGUGAACACGAGAGCUUGCUCUGUGGGAUCAGUGGCGAACGGGUGAGUAACACGUGAGCAACCUGCCCCUGACUCUGGGAUAAGCGCUGGAAACGGCGUCUAAUACUGGAUAUGUGACGUGACCGCAUGGUCUGCGUCUGGAAAGAAUUUCGGUUGGGGAUGGGCUCGCGGCCUAUCAGCUUGUUGGUGAGGUAAUGGCUCACCAAGGCGUCGACGGGUAGCCGGCCUGAGAGGGUGACCGGCCACACUGGGACUGAGACACGGCCCAGACUCCUACGGGAGGCAGCAGUGGGGAAUAUUGCACAAUGGGCGCAAGCCUGAUGCAGCAACGCCGCGUGAGGGACGACGGCCUUCGGGUUGUAAACCUCUUUUAGCAGGGAAGAAGCGAAAGUGACGGUACCUGCAGAAAAAGCGCCGGCUAACUACGUGCCAGCAGCCGCGGUAAUACGUAGGGCGCAAGCGUUAUCCGGAAUUAUUGGGCGUAAAGAGCUCGUAGGCGGUUUGUCGCGUCUGCUGUGAAAUCCGGAGGCUCAACCUCCGGCCUGCAGUGGGUACGGGCAGACUAGAGUGCGGUAGGGGAGAUUGGAAUUCCUGGUGUAGCGGUGGAAUGCGCAGAUAUCAGGAGGAACACCGAUGGCGAAGGCAGAUCUCUGGGCCGUAACUGACGCUGAGGAGCGAAAGGGUGGGGAGCAAACAGGCUUAGAUACCCUGGUAGUCCACCCCGUAAACGUUGGGAACUAGUUGUGGGGUCCAUUCCACGGAUUCCGUGACGCAGCUAACGCAUUAAGUUCCCCGCCUGGGGAGUACGGCCGCAAGGCUAAAACUCAAAGGAAUUGACGGGGACCCGCACAAGCGGCGGAGCAUGCGGAUUAAUUCGAUGCAACGCGAAGAACCUUACCAAGGCUUGACAUAUACGAGAACGGGCCAGAAAUGGUCAACUCU